GAUCAUGGCUCAGGAUGAACGCUAGCGGCAGGCCUAACACAUGCAAGUCGAGGGGUAACAGGGCGUAGCAAUACGCCGCUGACGACCGGCGCACGGGUGCGUAACGCGUAUGCAACCUGCCCGUAACAGGGGAAUAACGGGGAGAAAUCUCCACUAAUGCCCCAUAUACUUGCUGGUUCGCAUGUUCCGGCAAGGAAAGCUUUCUGUGGUUACGGAUGGGCAUGCGUGACAUUAGCUAGUUGGUAAGGUAACGGCUUACCAAGGCGUCGAUGUCUAGGGGAGCUGAGAGGCUAAUCCCCCACACUGGUACUGAGACACGGACCAGACUCCUACGGGAGGCAGCAGUGAGGAAUAUUGGUCAAUGGAGGGAACUCUGAACCAGCCAUGCCGCGUGAGGGAGGAAGGCCCUACGGGUCGUAAACCUCUUUUGCCCCGGGGCAAUAAGGGCCGUGCGCGGUCCGAUGAGAGUACGGGGCGAAUAAGCAUCGGCUAACUCCGUGCCAGCCGCGGC
Molecule: ribosomal RNA, 511 nt
Filed under: uncultured bacterium
Lineage: Bacteria
Description: bacterial SSU rRNA
Rfam family: Bacterial small subunit ribosomal RNA
Source: RNAcentral